GAUGAAGAACGUAGCGAAAUGCGAUAAGUAAUGUGAAUUGCAGAAUUCAGUGAAUCAUCGAAUCUUUGAACGCACAUUGCGCCCGCCAGUAUUCUGGCGGGCAUGCCUGUUCGAGCGUCAUUUCAACCAUCAAGCCCCAGGCUUGUGUUGGGGACCUGCGGCUGCCGCAGGCCAUGAAAACCAGUGGCGGGCUCGCUGUCACACCGGGCGUAGUAGAUUUUAUCUCGCUCUGGGCGUGCUGCGGGUUCCGGCCGUUAAAAAACCCUUUUAACCCAAGGUUGACCUCGGAUCAGGUAGGAAUACCCGCUGAACUUAAGCAUAUCAAUAAGCGGAGGA
RNAcentral lists this unclassified non-coding RNA (336 nucleotides) under soil metagenome. RNAcentral describes it as "partial contains 5.8S ribosomal RNA, internal transcribed spacer 2, and large subunit ribosomal RNA". The stretch from base 1 to 120 matches the Rfam family "5.8S ribosomal RNA", at positions 35 to 154 of the family's 154-position model. The record is from RNAcentral.